UCUGAAUCUGCGUACGGCUCCGCAAACCAGUUGUAAACUAUAGCAAGCAGGCUCGGGGUCGGCCUUCACGGGCUGGCCUCGGGUGAUAUGGAUAACCCUGGUAAUUCUGAGGCUAAUACAUGAACGUAGAACCCGGUUGACUAGGCUUCACGGCCCGGGAUGCUGGGGGAUGUGCGAUUGGCAGGCUUGGGUAACACCGGGAAAGGGCGCGCGUCCAGACCGCGCUAUAAAGGAUGGGCUCCUCACGGGGCCUGCCCCAGCGGCUCUUGCUGUGUGCUUCUGACCUAUCAACUAGACGGCAGCGUAAGGGACAUG
RNAcentral lists this ribosomal RNA (315 nucleotides) under Lamproderma ovoideum. Its description in RNAcentral is "bacterial SSU rRNA". It matches the Rfam family "Eukaryotic small subunit ribosomal RNA", at positions 80 to 343 of the family's 1831-position model. Lineage: Eukaryota; Evosea; Eumycetozoa; Stemonitida; Stemonitidae. The record is from RNAcentral.